AUUGAACGCUGGCGGCAGGCCUAACACAUGCAAGUCGAACGAGUGGCGGACGGGUGAGUAAUGUCUGGGCAACUGCCUGCUGGAGGGGGAUAACUACUGGAAACGGUAGCUCAUACCGCAUACCAUCAACUGUGCCCCGCUGGGAUGAGCUAGUUGGUGGGGUAAAGGCUAACCAAGGCGACGAUCCCUAGCUGGUAUGAGAGGCUGACCAGCCACACUGGAACUGAGACACGGUCCAGACUCCGACGUGAGGCAGCAGUUGGGAAUAUUGCACAAGGGGCGCAAGCCUGAUGCAGCCAGGCCGCGUGAAUGAAGAAGGCCUUCGGUUGGUAAAGUACUGUCAGCGGGGAGGCGGUACCCGCAGAAGAAGCACCGGCUAACUCCGUGCCAGGAGCCGCGGUAAUGC
RNAcentral lists this ribosomal RNA (406 nucleotides) under uncultured bacterium. Its description in RNAcentral is "partial 16S ribosomal RNA". It matches the Rfam family "Bacterial small subunit ribosomal RNA", at positions 29 to 526 of the family's 1533-position model. The record is from RNAcentral.